CAAAUGCGAAAUGUCGUGUGACAUGCAUUCCUCGUGAAUCAUCUAAUUUUUGAACGCACCUUGCACCCAGCGUGAGAACGACGGGUAUACAUGUUUGAGUAUGGAAUGUGAAAAGAUCUCGCAAUAUCUGCGGGGACGUGAGAGUCUAGCGGGGUCGUUGACCACGAGUGCUAGUCUCUUUAAAGGAAAGCCUUGUGAGGUGUGCAGGAAGGUUGGAAGCCAGUGAUGGAUUUCAACGAUCUAGUGGGAUAACAUCCAGACAUUAGAAACUAGCACAUCUUGAUAACAGGCACCGACCGAGUGAAAUAUGCAUCUAUCAAUUGCUUCAUUUGCAUUUAUCAAUUGCUUCAUUUGCUUUUCAUUCCAUCCAUCUCCUCUCACCAUCUCAAAUCAUGUAGGA
Molecule: unclassified non-coding RNA, 400 nt
Filed under: uncultured fungus
Lineage: Eukaryota; Fungi
Description: sequence contains ITS1
Rfam family: 5.8S ribosomal RNA (bases 1-104)
Source: RNAcentral